AUGGCAUCAAUGGAUGCAGAUAUGUCACGUGUUGAAAACAUUAGAAGUGUCAUAGAAAGAGAGGAAUUUGUGAUAGAGGAUAGCAUCAGUGCAUGGAUAUGUUGCCACAAGGAGAGGAUGGGACUCAUUUAUGGAAGAAACAUCAGGCUGCCUCUGGUUCCACCAUCACAACUUAACAGACUUUUCCUUUCUUCAUGCAGUAUUACAGAUGGGGCAUUAGCUGUUUGCCUUAAUGGUCUCACUUCACUGAGAAGUUUGCACUUAACUAAGAUCAUGACUUUGACUACAGUUCCGUCGCAAGAGGUCCUCCUACAUUUGACAAAGUUAAGUUGGCUGAAUAUCAGUUCUUGCUGGUGUCUCAAGUCAUUAGGGGGGUUACGAGCUGCUACCUCCCUUUCAGAUGUCAGAUUUCAUUCCUGCCCUUCUCUAGACUUGGCACGUGGAGCAGAUGAAAUGCCAUUAUCUCUUACGAGGCUCACUAUAUACUGGUGUGUGGUUGGAGCUAACUUCUUCAGUAGUGGUCUGCCGCACCUGAGAGAUCUUGAAAUGGUUGGCUGCGGAAGCCUUGCAUCCUUGUCAAUCAGUCAUUUGAUCUCCCUUGCAUCAUUAGUACUAAAAGAUCUCCCGGAUCUGUGCUUUAUUGAAGGACUGUCUUCCCUGCAACUUCACCGUGUAUCUUUAGAAGGUGUCCCGAAGCUCAGCGCCAAGUGCAUCUCACAGUUUCGGGUGCAGAAAUCACUCAGUGUUAGCAGUCCUGUGAUACUCAACCACAUGCUCUCUACUAAAGGUUUUACAGCUCCAGAAUUCCUCUGUCUAAUUGAUUGCAAGGAGCCAUCCAUUUCAUUCGAAGAAUCUGCAAAUUUCUCAUCCCUGAGAAAGCUGAUAUUACGUCAAUGCGAAAUGAGAUCCCUGCCAGGAAAUCUCAAGUGGCUGACAAGUCUGACACGACUUGGUAUCUACGAGUGCCCCAACAUAUCAUCUUUAUCCGAUCUGCCACCCUCCCUCCAACAUAUAAUUGUUGAGGGUUGUGAGCGCUUGAAAGAGAGCUGUCAAGCACCUGAUGGAGAAAGUUGGCCAAAGAUUGCGGGUAUCCACUCGAAGGAAAUCAGAUGA
Molecule: ribosomal RNA, 1113 nt
Filed under: Triticum aestivum (bread wheat)
Lineage: Eukaryota; Viridiplantae; Streptophyta; Magnoliopsida; Poales; Poaceae
Description: partial small subunit ribosomal RNA
Source: RNAcentral